GACGAACGCUGGCGGCGUGCUUAACACAUGCAAGUCGAACGGAAAGGCCUCUUUCGGGGGGUACUCGAGUGGCGAACGGGUGAGUAACACGUGAGUAACCUGCCCUUUACUUUGGGAUAACUUCAGGAAACUGGGGCUAAUACCGGAUAGGAGCUCCUGCUGCAUGGUGGGGGUUGGAAAGUUUCGGCGGUUGGGGAUGGACUCGCGGCUUAUCAGCUUGUUGGUGGGGUAGUGGCUUACCAAGGCUUUGACGGGUAGCCGGCCUGAGAGGGUGACCGGCCACAUUGGGACUGAGAUACGGCCCAGACUCCUACGGGAGGCAGCAGUGGGGAAUAUUGCACAAUGGGUGGAAGCCUGAUGCAGCAACGCCGUGUGCGGGAUGACGGCCUUCGGGUUGUAAACCGCUUUCGCUCAUGACGAAGCUUUGUGUGACGGUAGUGGGUAAAGAAGCACCGGCUAACUACGUG
Molecule: ribosomal RNA, 467 nt
Filed under: uncultured bacterium
Lineage: Bacteria
Description: partial 16S ribosomal RNA
Rfam family: Bacterial small subunit ribosomal RNA
Source: RNAcentral